UGCCAGCAGCCGCGGUAACACGGGGGGGGCAAGCGUUGUCCGGAAUUAUUGGGCGUAAAGGGCGAGUAGGUGGGAAAGUAAGUUAGAGGUGAAAGUUCGGAGCUUAACUCCGAAUCUGCCUCUAAAACUGCUUUUCUUGAGUGUGAGAGGGGAAAGUGGAAUUCCCGGUGUAGCGGUGAAAUGCGUAGAUAUCGGGAAGAACACCGGUGGCGAAGGCGACUUUCUGGCUCACAACUGACACUGAAUCGCGAAAGCGUGGGGAGCAAACAGGAUUAGAUA
Molecule: ribosomal RNA, 279 nt
Filed under: uncultured bacterium
Lineage: Bacteria
Description: partial 16S ribosomal RNA
Rfam family: Bacterial small subunit ribosomal RNA
Source: RNAcentral